AGUGAACGCUGGCGGUAGGCCUAACACAUGCAAGUCGAACGGCAGCACAGUAAGAGCUUGCUCUUACGGGUGGCGAGUGGCGGACGGGUCAGGAAUACAUCGGAAUCUACUUUUUCGUGGGGGAUAACGUAGGGAAACUUACGCUAAUACCGCAUACGACCUACGGGUGAAAGCAGGGGAUCUUCGGACCUUGCGCGAUUGAAUGAGCCGAUGUCGGAUUAGCUAGUUGGCGGGGUAAAGGCCCACCAAGGCGACGAUCCGUAGCUGGUCUGAGAGGAUGAUCAGCCACACUGGAACUGAGACACGGUCCAGACUCCUACGGGAGGCAGCAGUGGGGAAUAUUGGACAAUGGGCGCAAUCCUGAUCCAGCCAUACCGCGUGGGUGAAGAAGGCCUUCGGGUUGUAAAGCCCUUUUGUUGGGAAAGAAAAGCAGCAGGUUAAUACCCCGCUGUUCUGACGGUACCCAAAGAAUAGGCACCGGCUAACUUCGUG
Molecule: ribosomal RNA, 492 nt
Filed under: uncultured bacterium
Lineage: Bacteria
Description: partial 16S ribosomal RNA
Rfam family: Bacterial small subunit ribosomal RNA
Source: RNAcentral